This 497-nucleotide ribosomal RNA is filed under the name uncultured bacterium. RNAcentral's name for it is "partial 16S ribosomal RNA". It matches the Rfam family "Bacterial small subunit ribosomal RNA", at positions 28 to 507 of the family's 1533-position model. The record is from RNAcentral.
GAUGAACGCUGGCGGCGUGCCUAAUACAUGCAAGUCGAGCGAACAGACGAGGAGCUUGCUCCUUUGACGUUAGCGGCGGACGGGUGAGUAACACGUGGGUAACCUACCUAUAAGACUGGGAUAACUUCGGGAAACCGGAGCUAAUACCGGAUAAUAUUUCGAACCGCAUGGUUCGAUAGUGAAAGAUGGCUUUGCUAUCACUUAUAGAUGGACCUGCGCCGUAUUAGCUAGUUGGUAAGGUAACGGCUUACCAAGGCAACGAUACGUAGCCGACCUGAGAGGGUGAUCGGCCACACUGGAACUGAGACACGGUCCAGACUCCUACGGGAGGCAGCAGUAGGGAAUCUUCCGCAAUGGGCGAAAGCCUGACGGAGCAACGCCGCGUGAGUGAUGAAGGUCUUCGGAUCGUAAAACUCUGUUAUUAGGGAAGAACAAACGUGUAAGUAACUGUGCACGUCUUGACGGUACCCAAUCAGAAAGCCACGGCUAACUACGUG